AGCUCCAAUAGCGUAUAUUAAAGUUGUUGCAGUUAAAAAGCUCGUAGUUGGAUUUCUGGUGGGAGCGAUCGGUCCGACACACUGUGUGGGUACUUGCAUCGUCUCCGGCCAUCCUUGGGGAGAGCCUGUCUGGCAUUAAGUUGUCGGGUAGGGGAUCUCCAUCGUUUACUGUGAAAAAAUUAGAGUGUUCAAAGCAGGCUUAUGCCGUUGAAUAUAUUAGCAUGGAAUAAUAAGAUAGGACCUCGGUACUAUUUUGUUGGUUUGCGUACUAAGGUAAUGAUUAAUAGGGACAGUUGGGGGUAUUCGUAUUCAAUUGUCAGAGGUGAAAUUCUUGGAUUUAUGGAAGACGAACUACUGCGAAAGCAUUUACCAAGGAUGUUUUCAUUAAUCAAGAACGAAA
RNAcentral lists this ribosomal RNA (400 nucleotides) under phytoplankton environmental sample. RNAcentral describes it as "partial small subunit ribosomal RNA". It matches the Rfam family "Eukaryotic small subunit ribosomal RNA", at positions 587 to 988 of the family's 1831-position model. The record is from RNAcentral.